Molecule: long non-coding RNA, 1287 nt
Organism: Vespula pensylvanica (western yellowjacket)
Lineage: Eukaryota; Metazoa; Arthropoda; Insecta; Hymenoptera; Vespidae
Exons: 3
Source: RefSeq, a predicted model, not a curated record
GGCAACAGAGUUCGUAACAGACCGAAAUGAUAAAUUGUCAUUCUUGAAGGUGUCUUCAUCGGAUGAAGACCAUUCACGUGCCGUUCUCUCUUCGAGUAAGUCGAAAAAGGAAAACCGAUGGAGAGGACAUUUUGCGUUGACUGACUCCACAUCAUCAUCCAUUUUAUUCAAUAAAUACGACGAUGGAUCACAUCCUGCAACUUACAAAAUGGCCGUUCGAUUUUACAAUAAAGAGGAGGGAAGCACAAGAUCGAACUAUCAAACGCUACCCUUCGCGUAAACUGGGAAAUGUGGGUGGGGAGGUUAAUCGACGACGAUCGUCGAUGGAAAGUGGGGGUGGUGAUUGUAAUAGUCGGUGGUAGUGGUAGUAGUGGUAGCGGUGGUGGUGGUGGUGGUGAAGGUGGCGUCGAGAGCUCCCUAUGACGUCAUAUCUCUGGACUGUGGAAACAACAUCUCGAAAGGAUGGAAGCUCGUCGAGAGGCACGCCGUGUUCCUUCUUUCUAUUCUCGAGGACGUGAUAACGGGCGUGUUAAGUGGUAACCGUGGACGUUUGGUCAGACAUACGAGUUUCACUCACGACGUUAUUGUCGUCGACAACGACGACGACGAAGACAACGAUAACGAAAUAGACGACGAGAAUCAACGAGUCCGUAGGAAGUGACUGUUAAAAAAGACAAAAAAAAAGGGAGAAAAAAUAAAAAUUAAAAAAAAAUAAAUAAAGGAAAAAAAUGGCUCGUCUUUUUGUCACGUUCGUCUGAUAUCGAUAAUCGUCGUUGUUGUUAGCCACUCAUUCACUCACUCAUUCACUCGGCUAACAACCGGCUCGACUCCGUCGUCGCGAAGGAGCCAUCGAGGACAAGCAACAAGCGUUCUCGAGCGGCGCGCGAGACCGGGCAUCGAUUUAGCCGGGAAAACAUGACACUGAGAGACCGACGUCUAAGCUAUCGCUUUUCUACGGAACGCCGUCCUUCUUCUGGACGUACGAUAACGUGCGAAAACCAGCUAGACGGUACGGAUGUACAUAGGAAAGCGAGGGACACGGCACGCCUGUAGAUACCGAUAUGCCGGACUAGAGCAUGAAAUGGACGGACAGCAAGUAGUACGCUAGAGAGAAGAGAAUGAUAAUUAUUAAUAAUUAUAAUUAAAAUUCAAAUUAUAAUUAUAAUUCUAAAAGAAAAGUUUCGAAGGAGAAAGAAGAGAAAAGAUUUAAAAAAUUACAUAGGAAGUAAAUGGAGCAGUGAAAAGAGAGGGUAAAUUAGUUGCGUUCGAUAGAAAGAGAGAGAGAGA